Molecule: long non-coding RNA, 737 nt
Filed under: Monodelphis domestica (gray short-tailed opossum)
Lineage: Eukaryota; Metazoa; Chordata; Mammalia; Didelphimorphia; Didelphidae
Description: lncRNA (ENSMODG00000033490.2)
Source: RNAcentral
GAAGGAAUUAGUUAGAAAGGAAUUUAUUCUCUGGAAGCUGGAUCCUGCCAAAGGAUUAUGAAGUGCCUUUUCUCAAGUGCGAUGGCUGUUAUCCUGAAUAUACAUCUCACUGCAGUGCCCAUACUUAAAGAAGAACAAUCUAAAGAUAAAUUUUAAUAUAUAAAAGCACAUAGACUUCCAGAUAAACAUGGCAGCAGUUUAGAAGCAAGACUCUUCCUCUCCUCAGCAUCCACCAAUAUAGACUACCUCAAAAGAUAAAAAAAAAAAAAAACAAAUUCAUCAGAAUGAAGGCACUCUAUAAUAGGGCACAGCAUUGAAGGCACAUGGAAUUUGGGCAUUUCCACACUAUAAGGGGGUGAAAAAACUCCCAACAAAACGCGACUUGAUCUACCCUCCCCCACCCCACCUACCAAGCCAGAGUCAGAGUCAGCACACGCCAGAAUCAGCGAGUGAGAGAGGGGAAACUCUAGAGUGAGUAAGGGGCACCCCUAUGUCCUUGAGAAGUGACUAAGACCACAAAAGACCUACCCCUGAGAGCAGCUAGACCUGAAACCCCAGCAGGCUGAAAAGUGCAGAUCUUGGGAUCGCAUAGGAAGAUAGCAUAGAGUAGGGCAGCAAACAGCAGAAGCUGUGGGGAUUUGAGAGUUAUCUUCAGGCAAAAUCCUUGCUCCUCAAAUCCAUACACAGAAAGCCUGCCCACCUCACCCAGAUUUCUGAAUAAAAGGGAAGGAAAAACC